AGUGAACGCUGGCGGUAGGCCUAACACAUGCAAGUCGAACGGCAGCACAGUAAGAGCUUGCUCUUACGGGUGGCGAGUGGCGGACGGGUGAGGAAUACAUCGGACUCUACUUUUUCGUGGGGGAUAACGUAGGGAAACUUACGCUAAUACCGCAUACGACCUACGGGUGAAAGCAGGGGAUCUUCGGACCUUGCGCGAUUGAAUGAGCCGAUGUCGGAUUAGCUAGUUGGCGGGGUAAAGGCCCACCAAGGCGACGAUCCGUAGCUGGUCUGAGAGGAUGAUCAGCGACACUGGAACGGAGACAGGGUCCAGACUCCUAAGGGAGGCAGCAGUGGGGAAUAUUGGACAAUGGGGGCAAGCAUGAUCCAGCCAGACCGCGUGGGUGAAGAAGGCCUUCGGGUUGUAAAGACCUUUUGUUGGGAAAGAAAAGCAGCAGGUUAAUACCCCGCUGUUCUGACGGUACCCAAAGAAUAAGCACCGGCUAACUUCGUG
RNAcentral lists this ribosomal RNA (492 nucleotides) under uncultured bacterium. RNAcentral describes it as "partial 16S ribosomal RNA". It matches the Rfam family "Bacterial small subunit ribosomal RNA", at positions 29 to 507 of the family's 1533-position model. The record is from RNAcentral.